GCGACAACUAGAGUCCACUUCACGCAGUGCACCUUAAUCGGUGGCUGUAACAGGUUGAUGAGGUCGUUUUAUGUCGGCCUGAAAUAAUCUGGCGAACAGUUGCAGCAUGAGGUGAUUUUAUUUCAUGUUUCAUGUGAAAACUGUUGCGACAUUUCGACUUGUGGAGCUUGUUAACAGAAAUGUUUUGAAAAAAUGGCGACCGUUUGUUUAGCUAGCUGUUGUGGGCGUGGCCCUUGCCGUUGUUCUCAGUUUAGCCUAGCAUGCUAACCAACAAGAAAAACAACAUGAGAGAUUGGAAACAAGCUUCUGGAGAGAGUUUAUUGAUUAAAGUUACCAAAACCCAAAACCAAGCUGACUGAGUGACUUCAGGAGCACAUCUGAUAUCUAAUGGUGAAUUCAUCCAUAAUGUUCACCUGUCAUCCAGGUGACAGUUCCCAUCUACAGUACCUCGCUGACGUGACCAAACACCGCUUGUGCAACUGCUGAUGGAGGGUUUUUAUUCCCAUUGGUGAAGCCUUCGGGCUGUCAGAGGAGAAUGUGGAGGUGGCAGAAGUAGACGCACUCCUUGUCCAGGAAAGUGGCGCAGGAGCAGCGUUUGGUCCGCACAUGGCGCCCCUGGGUGGUGGUGGAGGCGGUGGUUGUCUCUCCAGAAGGCGCUGCAAUGGAUAAACCUUUGAUGCUCAGAGUUACCCCAAAGAAUUACAUUGCAGUCAUUGCAGCUGAGGCAAGCUACUGAACCAAUUCCAAAAAUGUUGGAGAAGUUGCAGUGGACACAGUGGUAUGGCCGGACAUCAGAGUGGGUGCGUAUAUGUUUGCGCAGCAUGCUGGGCUUCUUGCACCGGAUCCCACAUUCCUCACAGAUGUAUUUACCGCGUCCACGCCCACGCACACGCCACAGAUUACAUAAUGCGUCCCCACCCCUGCGCUGCCGUGGAGGAAAACAAAGGCACCCUGCCAGCAGAAACACAGCAACCGAGGCUCAUGAGGAGAGGGCAGAGUGUUUGUUUAUGUGCGUGUGUUUGACAGAGAGGUAGACAGAGAGGAGCGAGAGCUGUGUGACCAUGUGAACGCCCUCGCCAACAGGAAUCAGAUUCCUGGCAUCAGUGGAAAAUGCACUUCACGAGUAAAUGAGGCAGACAGGAAAUCCUGCAACAUCGAGAGGAUUACCUGAGGCUACUGCUGAGGUGGAUGUUUCCAGGACAGCGAAAUAAGAUGAUGCAUUUAAAAGAGCGUAAUGAAAUUAAAGCGGACAAAGACAAAGGAAGAGCAAUUAAGGAAAGGAUGUAGUCAGGAGCGCAAGAAACAGCAGGUCAUAGCUGACCUCACAGCGCUCCGCCUCCAUGAUAACAACAGGUACAUCUAUUCUUACAUGGACGCAGAGGAACAGAGGGAGGGAGGGAGCUAAAGUGAGUCUGAUGAUCUCAUGCUGUGUGGAAGAAGAAGUCAGAAGUGUCGUAAGUUCAGCUCUGCUCUAUCUCUGGACCGAACUGUUGCGUAACACCAACAGCUUAUCCUGUCCUCCUUCUCGUGUUGUACAUCAGCUGCUGCCGCAUGGAGGAGGAGGAGGACCAACACGCCGCCGCAGACGAGCGCCGGAGCGUUACUGGUCGGUGCUGGGGGGGUGAUUAAUGAGCUGCGAGAGGCGUUAACCCCUUGACCAACAUUGUUGUUACUCAGGACGAACGUAAAUAAGAAACAUGAUGGAUGAUGGAGGUGGAAUUUAAUCAUUUCAAUGACAAAAAAACACAAGAAACUCCGAUAGUAUAAAGCUUUUUUUGUAAUACGAUUCCAUAAUUAACUGAUAAGUUACGAAAGUUAUAAAAUAUUUGAUUCAUCCCAAGGAAGAAUUUCAAACAUUUCACGGUUCCGGCUUCUUAAGUGCGACAAUUUUCUGCUUACGUUAUAGAAAACUUGUAUCAAUGAGCAUGUGUCUGUGUGUAAACAAGCAAACUGAAGAUUGUUUAGGUUUCGGACUAUUGGUUGGACAAACAAAGACAACCGGAGUACGUCAUCGUUGGAUGUAGGAGACAGGGAUGGAUAGACUUUGGUGCCAUUUUCUUAUCACGAAUCAAGACCAUAAUUGGCAGAUAAUCAGUAAAAACAAUAAAAGCUCUUCUCAGCCUAUAA
Long non-coding RNA from Acanthopagrus latus (yellowfin seabream), 2127 nucleotides. RefSeq lists it as uncharacterized. The record is from RefSeq and is a predicted model, not a curated record. Lineage: Eukaryota; Metazoa; Chordata; Actinopteri; Spariformes; Sparidae. The transcript has 7 exons.